This 1529-nucleotide ribosomal RNA is filed under the name Klebsiella pneumoniae. RNAcentral describes it as "bacterial SSU rRNA". It matches the Rfam family "Bacterial small subunit ribosomal RNA". The record is from RNAcentral. Lineage: Bacteria; Pseudomonadati; Pseudomonadota; Gammaproteobacteria; Enterobacterales; Enterobacteriaceae.
UAAAUGAAGAGUUUGAUCAUGGCUCAGAUGAACGCUUGGCGGCAGGCCUAAACACAUGCAAGUCGAGCGGUAGCACAGAGUAGCUUGCCUCUCGGGUGACGAGACGGCGGACGGGAGUAAUGUAUGGGGAAACUGCUGUAUGGAGGGGGAUAACUACUGGAACGGUUAGCUAAUACCGCAUAACGUCGCCAAUGACCACACAGUGGAGGAACACCCCUCGGGCCUCAUUGCCAUUCAGAUGGCCCAGAUGGGAUUAGAUAGUAGUGGGGUAACGGCUCACCUAAGGCGGACCGACUACCCUAGCUGGUCUGAGGAGGAUGACCAGCCACACGGAAACUGAGACAGGUCAGACUCUCCGGGAGGCAGCAGUGGGGAAUAUUGCACAAUGGGCGCAAGCCUGAUGCAGGCCAUGCCGCGUGUGUGAAGAAGGCUUGGGUUGUAAAAGCACUUCAGCGGGGAGGAGGCGGUGAGGUUAAUAAUCAUCGAUUGACGGUACCCGCAGAAGAAGCACCGGCUAACUCGUGCCAGCAGCCGCUGGUAAUACGGAGGGUUCAAGCGUUAAUCGGAAUACUGCGGCGUAAAGCGCACGCGGCGGUCUGUCAAGUCGAUGAGAAAUCACCGGGCUUCAACCUGGGAACUGCAUUCGAAAACUGGCAAGGCUAGAGUCUUGUAGCGGGGGGUAGAAUUCCAGGGUAGCGGUGAAAUGCGUAGAAUCUGGAGGAAUACCGGUGAGGAAGGGUCCCCUGGAACAACACUGACGCUCAGGUUUGGCUGCGAAAUGCUGGGGAGCAAACAGGAUUAGAUACCAUGGUAGUCCACGCGAAACGAGUCGAUUGGGGUUGUGCCCUUGAGGCGUGGCUUCCGGAGCUAACGCGGUAAUCGACCGCAUAGGGGAGUACGGCCAAGUUAAAACUCAAAUGAUUGACGGGGGCCAGCACAAGCGGUGGGCAUGAUGGUUUAAUUCGAUGCAACGCGAAGAACCUUACCUGGUAUUGUACAUCCAAAGAACUUUCCAGAGAAGGAUUGGUGCCUUCGGGAACUUGAGACAGGUGCUGCAUGGCUGUCGUCAGUCGUGUUGUGAAAGUUGGGUUAAGUCCGCAAGAGCGCAACCCUAUCCUUUGUUGCCAGCGGCGGCCGGGAACUCCAAAGGAGACUGCAGGAUAACUGGAGAAGUGGGGAUGGGACGUCAAGUCAUCAUGGCCCUUACGACCAGGUGCUACACAACGUUGCCUACAAUGGCAUAGACCAAAGAGAAGCGACCUCGCGAGAGCAAGCGACCUCAUAAAUAUGUCGUAGUCAGGAUUGGAGUCUGCAAUGAUCCAUGAAUUCGGAAUCGUAGUAUCGUAGAUCAGAAUGCUACGGUGAAUACGUUCCCGGGCCUUGUACACACCGCGUCAAACCAUGGGGUGGGUUGCAAAAAAAAAGGUAGGGAGCUUAAACAUUCGGAGGGCGUUACCACUUGGAUUAAUGACUGGGGUGAAGUCGUAACAAGGUAACCGUAGGGGAACUGCGGUUGGAUCACCUCCUUA